UCUCUCCCUUUGCUGGCCGAGAGCCAUUCUCGCCUCCCUAGGCUUGGAUCUACUUCUUCACAGAUAGAGUUCCUUCCCAUUCAUUUUGUUUGGUGUCCUCCCUCUAUACAAAGAAAGAAGAAGAGAAAAAUCUUUUUCCUAUUUGUUUUCUGUGCAAGCCGUGAGACUUCUCCCUGUUUUUCCCCCCUUUGAAAUUCUUCUUUUUCCAUUGUAGAGACCUUGGUGUCCUAGCCUUAGCCUUGGUUGUUCAGGUUUUUCUUGAGUGGUUAGAGAGAUAGAGAUUUGAGAGGGUUUUGUGAAGAGAGCUUGCAAUUCGUGAAGGGUUCUUGGAGGAUCUUGAAGCUAGGAGGGUUUGUUGGCUUGGACCUACACUCUUCGCCUUUUCGUCUUCUUACUCAUAUCUUGAGUAUUGAUGACAAUGUUGGCUUACUGACUGGAGCUAAUUUUGAAGACAUAACUAUGAUCAACCAUAAUAAUAAGACAGGCAGAUGGAUUUCUUCAUUCAGAGCAAUAUGGGGUUGGGAUGAUUCAUAUCUCUUCAUUGGUAAUAUGAAAAGAGGAGUUGAUGUUAUCUCCACGGCUAGGAGAGUAUGUGUUGCGACUUUACAGAGCCCAAAUUUGUCUGCAAUUCCAUGCCGCUUUGAUACACACCCUUACCAGAUUGGGAUGCUUGCAGGAGCCACAAGUGGAGGCCAGGUUUACACAUGGACAACAACUUGAGCUUCUCUUUUUCAACCACCAUUGUUGUCCUUUAACUUAAAAUUGACUUCUUGAUGAACAAUCAAUCCAGUUUGUAUGUAUGCUACUUCAUUUGGUAAGCUUUAAAUAUAUUUAUGGUUUUGCCUGCAA
Molecule: non-coding RNA, 849 nt
Organism: Camellia sinensis
Lineage: Eukaryota; Viridiplantae; Streptophyta; Magnoliopsida; Ericales; Theaceae
Source: RefSeq, a predicted model, not a curated record